UACGUAGGGGGCAAGCGUUGUCCGGAAUCAUUGGGCGUAAAGAGCGUGUAGGCGGUUCGGUAAGUCGGCUGUGAAAGUCAAGGGCUCAACCCUCGAAUGCCGGUGGAUACUGUCGGGCUAGAGUGCGGAAGAGGCGAGUGGAAUUCCUGGUGUAGCGGUGAAAUGCGUAGAGAUCGGGAGGAACACCAGAGGCGAAAGCGGUUAACUGGGUCUAAACUGACGCUGAGGCGCGAAGGCUAGGGGAGCAAACAGG
This 253-nucleotide ribosomal RNA is filed under the name uncultured bacterium. RNAcentral describes it as "partial 16S ribosomal RNA". It matches the Rfam family "Bacterial small subunit ribosomal RNA", at positions 524 to 776 of the family's 1533-position model. The record is from RNAcentral.